Molecule: long non-coding RNA, 486 nt
Organism: Oncorhynchus gorbuscha (pink salmon)
Lineage: Eukaryota; Metazoa; Chordata; Actinopteri; Salmoniformes; Salmonidae
Exons: 3
Source: RefSeq, a predicted model, not a curated record
GCCCAUCUUAUUCCACCGCCAUGACAUGGUGGGCAUCUUGCCCAGACAGCCAUAGCCAGGAGCGCACUGGCAGCUGGACUGACAGACAGACACAGACAGACAACCAGCUAAAUGUGGCCAGGGCGGUCACCUGAUGAUUGCUCAAUCUUGACUCACGGUUCAGGAAUACACUAUAUUACGCCUAAAGCAACAACAAGCAAUGUGAUUUAGAUUUGGUACAAAAGUGAUUGAAGGAAGAUGACGGUGACCUACUCCAGUAAAGUCGCCAACGCCACGUUCUUCGGUUUCCAUAGACUUCUACUGCGAUGGAGAGGCAGCAUCUACAAACUGCUUUAUCGGGAGUUUAUAGUCUUUGUACUGUUAUAUACCUUGGUGAGCCUCGUUUACAGACUUGCUCUCUCAGACCCUGAAAAGCGUUUCUUUGAAAAGUUGGCUCUUCACUGUAACAAGUAUGCAGAACAGAUUCCAGUCACGUUUGUGCUUGGU